Mus musculus (house mouse) is the source of this 2108-nucleotide long non-coding RNA. RefSeq annotates it as predicted gene, 30783. NCBI's taxonomy places the organism in Eukaryota, Metazoa, Chordata, Mammalia, Rodentia, Muridae. The transcript is spliced from 3 exons. The record is from RefSeq and is a predicted model, not a curated record.
UAUUACUUUUUAACUCUUCAGAGAAAUUCUCUUUAGACGCUAUACAAUGGAAGAGCCUUCAGAAAGCAUUAGCCUUGUACAGGUAGGAAGGUGAGGGGCUGUGAGAAAAUUGGGAGGCUAGCGUCAUUCCCUCAGUGACUCCACCUAAGCCACCCUAACACCCUGCAACUCCCUGACUUCAUAUUUCUUCUGGACCUCCAACCUCCUUCGAGUUAAUUAUUUAUGUUUGUUUGUAUUUUGUCUUUUAUAGAAUAAAGAAGAUGGAAGGAAAGUGAUGUUCCUGCCCCCUAAAGGCAUUUGCCAUGGCUGUCUAGGAUGAUUGGGAAAACUGGGGUCUGUAGAGACACAGCUCUAAGUUCCACACCUUGCUUCUUCCUGCUGCCCUGAACAAUCUUUCAGAGCCCAUAAUGAGAGGAUGCUGUGGCUGAUUUUUUUUUUUUUUUUUUGCUACACCCACAAAGAAAGGCACCAUUUGAGAGAGCUGAGACUGGAAAUCUUACCAUGUGCUCCCAUUUCAGAUGUGAGCUAAAAUGAAAAAAGAGUUUCUUUCCUCCGUGACUUUGAGAAGAAGAGAGUGGAGAGUGGUGAUUAACAGCAAUAUAUUUUUUAAUGAAACGUAACCCGUCAUCCCUGUCAUCUUCUGGCCAUCCUCGCUUGUAUGCGCCUCCCUGACAAGAGGAAUAAUAAUGGUCAUACAUCACUGCUCUCCACGUGCAAUCAUCUAAAUCUUCCCUCGCUGCAGCCUCUGAGACUCAAUUACUUUAUUGACAUGCAAUCUUCAUAAGGGGAGAAAUAUUGUGCGUGUAAGGUCACUUGGUUAUGAAGACAUAUUAUCAUAUUAUCUGCAUGAGGGUUGCAGGGCUAAGACCUGACAGAGCUAAUUAUAAUGGUACAUGAUAGAAAGCUCAGUACACAUUAUUCGCUUGGCUGCACUAAAGGUGAGCUAAUCUGGACUCUGGCUAAUGCUUUGUGUGAUCCUCUGCUUCGAGCAUCUCACAAGGCUACUGUGAAGGCUACAGUCAGGCUUGACGAUGCACCAGAGGUUCAACUGAAGAGGCUUCCAAGCUCACAUGAUUGUUAAGUGUCCAUGUAUAUGUGGACUAUUGGAUAGAGGGCCAUUAUUCUGAACUGGUAUUGGUCAGAGAUCACCCUCUAUUGCUAUUCUUUUAUGCCUCUCCAACUUGGCAUCUCAUUUCAUAAAUCCAACAGGAAGAAAGUUGGUUAGCAAUCCAAAAGUCACAGGCAACCUAAUCAUGGUAUUAUAAUUUCAUUACCUUCCUAUAAUCUACUAGGAGCAAGGAUGGCAUAACUGCCCUCACAUGCACACAAGAAGAAAGGAUUGUACAAGGGUAGGAAUGCCAGGAAAUAUGUCUCGUGAGGACCAUGUUGAUCCUCUUACUAAAGCAGUGCAGUACACAUUAGAUGGCUCAGGGAAUAAGAAGGAGAAUCCACCAAGAAUAUUCAAAGACAGGAUGCCAGCCAGGAAGAACACAAUGAAGCCCAAGGACAAUGGAGGACUAUUAGAAGAAUGGGCAUUUUAAAAUGUGUGCUCAGUGGUAGAAAUAACAAGACUUAGGAACUAGUCUUCUGUGAGGAGUAGUGUGGAAGCUGCACUGGAAAAGAUUCUAAGGCUUUGAAAUUGAGCUAGGGGAAGAAAAGUAGGAGAGGGGGAGUUGAGAGGAAUGCUAUGGGUGGAGUUUUGGUGGAAGAAAAGAACUAUGAAUAUUGUUCAAGGUGAUUACAUACUUGAAAAAGGUGAAAGCUGCAGAGUUUAUGACAUUCAUCUUUGAGAGGCAUCUGCAUAUACAUGACAGCUGAUGACAUGUGAUGUAUAAAAAGAAUGGAGCCACCCUGAGCUAUUUGUCAGGGUGGGAUGAGGAUUCCCUGGUGAGUCCCAUACUGCUGUGGGGAUUCUAGUCUGACUUCUAGGCUAAAGGGAUGCAGAAGAGAAAUGUCUUCAGUUAUAAUGCCUGCCAAUAGCCAGCCACUUGAGUAUCUCAAAAGAAAAUUUCCAGAGGCAAUAAAAGGGCUAGCUGUAGGUAUAUAUGUGCAUGUGUGUAUAUAAAUGUAUACAUAUAAUUAUAUACAUUUAUUAAAUGAUUUAACUG